GUUCUACAGAACCAGAGCAGUGUUAUGUUCAGCGAAGAGCAUCCAAGGGGUCUGCCAGGCACACUGAAAUGCAGCAAUUUUAUCCAAAGGACUCAACAGCCACCUAGCUGGAGAGUAAUUUGUCUUCAUGACAUCCCCAAGAGGCAUUCAGGCAAAAAGGCUGUUACCACUGUGGGGGCGUUGGCAAGAGGAUCAACUUGGAGUCUGGACAGUGUGCUUGGGUGCCAAGAGUCUUGGGUUCUGCCACCAACUCUGUAGGACCAUGAGCGGGCCACUUACCCUAUGUGAGGUUUCCAUUUGCUCACUGAGGUGAGGGUAUUGGACAAAACCUCCAUGGUCCUGAUGGCUCUAACAUUCUACGAAUCUGUUAUCCUGAUCCUACACUCCAAAGCGUGAAAACAUUGUCUGGGAAGCCAGAAGAGAAAACCAGAAGUAGCCAGAGGAGGAAGAAUUCAUUGAUAUGUGGAG
RNAcentral lists this long non-coding RNA (468 nucleotides) under Equus caballus (horse). Its description in RNAcentral is "lncRNA (ENSECAG00000059915.1)". Lineage: Eukaryota; Metazoa; Chordata; Mammalia; Perissodactyla; Equidae. The record is from RNAcentral.